GAUGAACGCUGGCGGCGUGCCUAAUACAUGCAAGUCGAGCGAAUGGAUUAAGAGCUUGCUCUUAUGAAGUUAGCGGCGGACGGGUGAGUAACACGUGGGUAACCUGCCCAUAAGACUGGGAUAACUCCGGGAAACCGGGGCUAAUACCGGAUAACAUUUUGAACCGCAUGGUUCGAAAUUGAAAGGCGGCUUCGGCUGUCACUUAUGGAUGGACCCGCGUCGCAGUAGCUAGUUGGUGAGGUAACGGCUCACCAAGGCAACGAUGCGUAGGCGACCUGAGAGGGUGAUCGGCCACACUGGGACUGAGACACGGCCCAGACUCCUACGGGACGCCGCAGUAGGGAAUCUUCCGCAAUGGACGAAAGUCUGACGGAGCAACGCCGCGUGAGUGAUGAAGGCUUUCGUGUCGUAAAACUCUGUUGUUAGGGAAGAACAAGUGCUAGUUGAAUAAGCUGGCACCUUGACGGUACCUAACCAGAAAGCCACGGCUAACUACGUGCCAGCAGCCGCAGUAA
Molecule: ribosomal RNA, 515 nt
Filed under: uncultured bacterium
Lineage: Bacteria
Description: partial 16S ribosomal RNA
Rfam family: Bacterial small subunit ribosomal RNA
Source: RNAcentral